UAGGGAAUCUUCGGCAAUGGACGAAAGUCUGACCGAGCAACGCCGCGUGAGUGAAGAAGGUUUUCGGAUCGUAAAACUCUGUUGUUAGAGAAGAACAAGGACGUUAGUAACUGAACGUCCCCUGACGGUAUCUAACCAGAAAGCCACGGCUAACUACGUGCCAGCAGCCGCGGUAAUACGUAGGUGGCAAGCGUUGUCCGGAUUUAUUGGGCGUAAAGCGAGCGCAGGCGGUUUCUUAAGUCUGAUGUGAAAGCCCCCGGCUCAACCGGGGAGGGUCAGUGGAAACUGGGAGACUUGAGUGCAGAAGAGGAGAGUGGAAUUCCAUGUGUAGCGGUGAAAUGCGUAGAUAUAUGGAGGAACACCAGUGGCGAAGGCGGCUCUCUGGUCUGUAACUGACGCUGAGGCUAGAAAGCGUGGGGAGCAAACAGG
RNAcentral lists this ribosomal RNA (429 nucleotides) under Gemmatimonadota bacterium. Its description in RNAcentral is "Gemmatimonadetes bacterium partial 16S ribosomal RNA". It matches the Rfam family "Bacterial small subunit ribosomal RNA", at positions 355 to 776 of the family's 1533-position model. Lineage: Bacteria; Pseudomonadati; Gemmatimonadota. The record is from RNAcentral.